RNAcentral lists this ribosomal RNA (549 nucleotides) under uncultured bacterium. RNAcentral's name for it is "bacterial SSU rRNA". It matches the Rfam family "Bacterial small subunit ribosomal RNA", at positions 355 to 895 of the family's 1533-position model. The record is from RNAcentral.
UAGGGAAUCUUCGGCAAUGGACGGAAGUCUGACCGAGCAACGCCGCGUGAGUGAAGAAGGUUUUCGGAUCGUAAAGCUCUGUUGUAAGAGAAGAACGAGUGUGAGAGUGGAAAGUUCACACUGUGACGGUAUCUUACCAGAAAGGGACGGCUAACUACGUGCCAGCGGCCGCGGUAAUACGUAGGUCCCGAGCGUUGUCCGGAUUUAUUGGGCGUAAAGCGAGCGCAGGCGGUUAGAUAAGUCUGAAGUUAAAGGCUGUGGCUUAACCAUAGUAGGCUUUGGAAACUGUUUAACUUGAGUGCAAGAGGGGAGAGUGGAAUUCCAUGUGUAGCGGUGAAAUGCGUAGAUAUAUGGAGGAACACCGGUGGCGAAAGCGGCUCUCUGGCUUGUAACUGACGCUGAGGCUCGAAAGCGUGGGGAGCAAACAGGAUUAGAUACCCUGGUAGUCCACGCUGUAAACGAUGAGUGCUAGGUGUUAGACCCUUUCCGGGGUUUAGUGCCGUAGCUAACGCAUUAAGCACUCCGCCUGGGGAGUACGACCGCAAGGUU